Molecule: ribosomal RNA, 301 nt
Filed under: uncultured bacterium
Lineage: Bacteria
Description: partial 16S ribosomal RNA
Rfam family: Archaeal small subunit ribosomal RNA
Source: RNAcentral
CAGCAGCCGCGGUAAAACCAGCACCUCGAGUGGUCAGGAGGUUUAUUGGGCCUAAAGCAUCCGUAGCCGGUUGCAUAAGUUUUCGGUUAAAUCUAUGCGCUUAACGUAUAGGCCGCCGAAAAUACUGUGCAGCUAGGGAGUGGGAGAGGUACACGGUACUCGAUAGGAAGGGGUAAAAUCCUUUGAUCUAUUGAUGACCACCUGUGGCGAAGGCGGUGUACCAGAACACGUUCGACGGUGAGGGAUGAAAGCUGGGGGAGCAAACCGGAUUAGAUACCCGAGUAGUCCCUGUCUCUUAUAA